This 513-nucleotide ribosomal RNA is filed under the name Hypocreales sp. MX337. RNAcentral describes it as "eukaryotic LSU rRNA". The stretch from base 171 to 324 matches the Rfam family "5.8S ribosomal RNA". Lineage: Eukaryota; Fungi; Ascomycota; Sordariomycetes; Hypocreales. The record is from RNAcentral.
ACCGAGUUUUCAACUCCCAAACCCCUGUGAACAUACCUCGACGUUGCUUCGGCGGGACCGCCCCGGUCGCCCCUCGCGGGCGGACCGGAACCAGGCGCCCGCCGGAGGACCACAAACUCUUGUUUCCUAAUAGUGGCAAUACUCUGAGUAAAACAAAAAAAAUAAAUCAAAACUUUCAACAACGGAUCUCUUGGCUCUGGCAUCGAUGAAGAACGCAGCGAAAUGCGAUAAGUAAUGUGAAUUGCAGAAUUCAGUGAAUCAUCGAAUCUUUGAACGCACAUUGCGCCCGCCAGUAUUCUGGCGGGCAUGCCUGUUCGAGCGUCAUUUCAACCCUCAAGCCCCAGCGGCUUGGUGUUGGGGACCGGCCCCGCGCCGCCCCCGAAAUGCAGUGGCGACCUCGCCGCAGCCUCCCCUGCGUAGUAGCACAAACCUCGCACCGGAGCGCGGAGACGGUCACGCCGUAAAACGCCCAACUUUCUUAGAGUUGACCUCGGAUCAGGUAGGAAUACCCGC